RNAcentral lists this long non-coding RNA (1178 nucleotides) under Anser brachyrhynchus (Pink-footed goose). RNAcentral describes it as "lncRNA (ENSABRG00000014135.1)". The record is from RNAcentral. Lineage: Eukaryota; Metazoa; Chordata; Aves; Anseriformes; Anatidae.
CUGGAUGUCAUAUAUAAGGAUUUUUUUUUUGUUGGUGGUGGUUAUGGGGAGAGUGCCUAAGCAUUUUCAAUGUUGGAUACAUAAAGUCACUUUUAUAUUUCAGGUUAAGACAGGAACCACUCCGACAAGCUUUGUCAAUGAUUUGCUAUAGGUCAACAAUUUCUUCUAUAUUCAUCUAAUGCAAAAUUGUUAGCACUACUAUGCAUCCAUGCAUCCCAUGAGGAUGUGACAUACAGCCGCUGCUUACAGUGUUGGCACCAGUGGCAGAUAUUUUGAUAUCUGAGGCAAGUUUAUUGAAUUUAUAAGGGAACGUGGCCUUCAUGACAGUACUAGUGUAGCCCCAGAGUACCAGCUCAGCAUACUGCAUCAUUGUCACCCCUCGCCUUGGAACCAGGGCAUAAACACUUGGUGCCACGGUGCAAAUAGAGCCUGUCUCCUACCAGCCCUUCUGAGCAACAUAAACUCUUUGGUUGGUGCAAUAUCCUCCUGCAGACUAAGUCUCUGCUGCAUUUUUAAGGGCUGUGAACGAGCACCUUUGCUGGAGGUGCACUCCCAGAAUCGUCAUCUUGCCAGAACCCUCCUGAAUUUAAACACAGAAAUGCAGAGACUGAGAAAUGAAAAUGAUCUGUCAGCAGCUUUUGAAUCCAAAGCACUGAACGUUGCCAUGAGCCCAGAAUAAUAAACUGUGUUUCAAGGCAUAGAUCCUGAAGAUGAAAUAUAUAUUCCAGAAAUGGUUCUGACAACAGCAUUAUGGAUAAGCUGCACAAGCUUCUUGAUCCAAUUUGGUAGCAGAAUACAUGGCAUUGUUUGAAAAUUACAGAAAUGUUUUAGAGAGGUUGUAGGGGAAAAUGAUGUUUGUAUUAAAGUUUAACUUGUCUUUUGGUGAGAAGAAGUUGCCUUUUUUAAAGGAAAGUAUCUACAAAGUAUGUAUGUAUAGGAAACAGUAUUUUUUAAUUCUCAAGUUAUUCUUCAAAUAUUUAAUUUUGUACAAUUUUUAGUUCUUAAUGUUGCAUUUAAAUUUCUCUACCCAUUUCACCAGUCCUUUCAUGAUACCUGUCCCUUCAGGUAUUAAUUCAUUUAAAUGUUCUUUCCUGAAAAAUGAGAAUUUUUAACUGUGCCUUGGAUUUAAUGCUUUGUAAGUUGCCUUUUUAAAUAAACAAAUAAAUAAAUUAGUAGCA